RNAcentral lists this ribosomal RNA (535 nucleotides) under Burkholderia cepacia. RNAcentral describes it as "bacterial SSU rRNA". It matches the Rfam family "Bacterial small subunit ribosomal RNA", at positions 738 to 1274 of the family's 1533-position model. Lineage: Bacteria; Pseudomonadati; Pseudomonadota; Betaproteobacteria; Burkholderiales; Burkholderiaceae. The record is from RNAcentral.
UACUGACGCUCAUGCACGAAAGCGAAUGGGGAGCAAACAGGAUUAGUAUACCCUGGUAGUCCACGCCCCUAAACGAUGUCAACUAGUUGUUGGGGAUUCAUUUCCUUAGUAACGUAGCUAACGCGUGAAGUUGACCGCCUGGGGAGUACGGUCGCAAGAUUAAAACUCAAAGGAAUUGACGGGGACCCGCACAAGCGGUGGAUGAUGUGGAUUAAUUCGAUGCAACGCGAAAAACCUUACCUACCCUUGACAUGGUCGGAAUCCUGCUGAGAGGCGGGAGUGCUCGAAAGAGAACCGGCGCACAGGUGCUGCAUGGCUGUCGUCAGCUCGUGUCGUGAGAUGUUGGGUUAAGUCCCGCAACGAGCGCAACCCUUGUCCUUAGUUGCUACGCAAGAGCACUCUAAGGAGACUGCCGGUGACAAACCGGAGGAAGGUGGGGAUGACGUCAAGUCCUCAUGGCCCUUAUGGGUAGGGCUUCACACGUCAUACAAUGGUCGGAACAGAGGGUUGCCAACCCGCGAGGGGGAGCUAAUCC